GAUGAAGAACGUAGCGAAAUGCGAUACGUAAUGUGAAUUGCAAAUUCAGUGAAUCAUCGAGUCUUUGAACGCUCAUUGCGCCCCCUGGUAUUCCGGGGGGCAUGCCUGUCCGAGCGUCAUUGCUGCCCUCAAGCACGGCUUGUGUGUUGGGCCCCGUCCUCCGAUCCCGGGGGACGGGCCCGAAAGGCAGCGGCGGCACCGCGUCCGGUCCUCGAGCGUAUGGGGCUUUGUCACCCGCUCUGUAGGCCCGGCCGGCGCUUGCCGAUCAACCCAAAUUUUUAUCCAGGUUGACCUCGGAUCAGGUAGGGAUACCCGCUGAACUUAAGCAUAUCAAUAAGCGGAGGA
This 345-nucleotide unclassified non-coding RNA is filed under the name soil metagenome. Its description in RNAcentral is "partial contains 5.8S ribosomal RNA, internal transcribed spacer 2, and large subunit ribosomal RNA". The stretch from base 1 to 119 matches the Rfam family "5.8S ribosomal RNA", at positions 35 to 154 of the family's 154-position model. The record is from RNAcentral.